AACGAACGCUGGCGGCAUGCCUAACACAUGCAAGUCGAACGAGAUCUUCGGGUCUAGUGGCGCACGGGUGCGUAACGCGUGGGAAUCUGCCCUUUGGUUCGGAAUAACAGUUGGAAACGACUGCUAAUACCGGAUGAUGACGAAAGUCCAAAGAUUUAUCGCCAGAGGAUGAGCCCGCGUAGGAUUAGCUAGUUGGUGUGGUAAAGGCGCACCAAGGCGACGAUCCUUAGCUGGUCUGAGAGGAUGAUCAGCCACACUGGGACUGAGACACGGCCCAGACUCCUACGGGAGGCAGCAGUGGGGAAUAUUUGACAAUGGGCGAAAGCCUGAUCCAGCAAUGCCGCGUGAGUGAUGAAGGCCUUAGGGUUGUAAAGCUCUUUUACCCGUGAUGAUAAUGACAGUACCGGGAGAAUAAGCUCCGGCUAACUCCGUGCCAGCAGCCGCCGUAA
Molecule: ribosomal RNA, 449 nt
Filed under: uncultured bacterium
Lineage: Bacteria
Description: partial 16S ribosomal RNA
Rfam family: Bacterial small subunit ribosomal RNA
Source: RNAcentral